Molecule: ribosomal RNA, 253 nt
Filed under: uncultured bacterium
Lineage: Bacteria
Description: partial 16S ribosomal RNA
Rfam family: Bacterial small subunit ribosomal RNA
Source: RNAcentral
UACGUAGGCAGCGAGCGUUGUUCGGAAUUACUGGGCGUAAAGAGUGCGUAGGCGGUGCUCUAAGUCUGUUGUGAAAUCUCCCGGCUUAACUGGGAGGGUGCGGCGGAAACUAGAGUGCUCGAGUGUGGGAGAGGUAAGCGGAAUUCCUGGUGUAGCGGUGAAAUGCGUAGAUAUCAGGAGGAACACCUGUGGUGUAGACAGCUUACUGGACCACGACUGACGCUGAGGCACGAAAGCGUGGGUAGCAAACAGG